AUUGAACGCUGGCGGCAUGCUUUACACAUGCAAGUCGAACGGUAACAGGCCUUCGGGUGCUGACGAGUGGCGAACGGGUGAGUAAUGCAUCGGAACGUGCCCAAUCGUGGGGGAUAACGUAGCGAAAGUUACGCUAAUACCGCAUAAGCCCUGAGGGGGAAAGUGGGGGACCGCAAGGCCUCACGCGAAUGGAGCGGCCGAUGUCAGAUUAGCUAGUUGGUGGGGUAAAGGCUCACCAAGGCGACGAUCUGUAGCGGGUCUGAGAGGGAUGAUCCGCCACACUGGGACUGAGACACGGCCCAGACUCCUACGGGAGGCAGCAGUGGGGAAUUUUGGACAAUGGGCGCAAGCCUGAUCCAGCCAUGCCGCGUGCGGGACGAAGGCCU
Molecule: ribosomal RNA, 386 nt
Filed under: uncultured bacterium
Lineage: Bacteria
Description: bacterial SSU rRNA
Rfam family: Bacterial small subunit ribosomal RNA
Source: RNAcentral